AUCCUUCUGCAGUUUAUAAGCAUGAAUAUUGGGUUCUCAUGCUAUUGUGUGAAAUGUGCCUUUCUUUCACUCUUUUUAACACAACAUCGGCACAUUAUCCAUUGGGGUGAAA
This is a small nucleolar RNA of Heterocephalus glaber (naked mole-rat), 112 nucleotides long. NCBI's taxonomy places the organism in Eukaryota, Metazoa, Chordata, Mammalia, Rodentia, Bathyergidae. The record is from Ensembl.